This 253-nucleotide ribosomal RNA is filed under the name uncultured bacterium. RNAcentral describes it as "partial 16S ribosomal RNA". It matches the Rfam family "Bacterial small subunit ribosomal RNA", at positions 524 to 776 of the family's 1533-position model. The record is from RNAcentral.
UACGUAGGGGGCAAGCGUUGUCCGGAAUCAUUGGGCGGAAAGAGCGUGUAGGCGGCUCGAUAAGUCUGCUGUGAAAGUCCAGGGCUCAACCCUGGAAGGCCGGUGGAAACUGUCGGGCUAGAGUCCGGAAGAGGCGAGUGGAAUUCCCGGUGUAGCGGUGAAAUGCGCAGAUAUCGGGAGGAACACCAAUGGCGAAGGCAGCUCGCUGGGACGGUACUGACGCUGAGACGCGAAAGCGUGGGGAGCAAACAGG